UUGAGUCAGGCCAAAAUAGAAGCCUCCUUCCUCCCACAUCCCAGAGCUGUUCCUUCUGAUUUCAGUAGCUAGAACCAGUGACCAUGCAGUGGCUCGAGGAAGCAGUGUGGGGGAGUCUCCCUUUCUUCUCCCCACCCCUCAACCGGCAAGUGGUCUCAGGAGUUCUUCCAGAUCAUUGGAAGAUGCGAUCACUGGAAGACUCCAGAUCACUGGAGAUCCCUUGAUCUCCCCGCCUUUGACAAACUCAAGGUAAAGCCUUUGCAUUUCUCUGCCAGAUAACUAAUCAGAGUGGUUUGCUCAUUUAUCUUAUCAGACCUAAUUCUCUCCUCCUUUAAGCCCUCUGUGCUCUGGAAGCCACAGCUUUCUUGGUGAACACUGAUGACCAGAACAACAGAGAUUGCAACAAAGGGGAGUUGAUUUCUACCAUCAACACAGUCAGCCCAGGCUACGCAACAGUUGUCCUGAACUGCAGCAGGCAUCCAGCCCUGUGCACGCAUCAUAACCAGCAGGGUGUCAGGAGGAGGAGGAAGACAAGGAGGAAGGAGCCUUCCUUCCCCUGUCCUGGGCCCCACCCCUGCAUCCCACUGCAGGACCAGGAACCUGCCUGUGCCUGGCAGUGACGUUGCCAAUGGGUGUGGCUUCACUUUGAGCUGGGAGCCUGCAAGAGGAAGGGAAGGUGGUCCCUGGAGCCAGCCAGUGGUCUUCGCCCAGUCGCCCUUCAGCUCUCAUUGUGCGUUUUCCAGACUCCUGGCUGUGGUCCGUGCAAUCCUGCAGGGCCAGGCCCAGCUGACCCACAGCAGGCCUUAGCCAGAAAGAACCCUGGGCUCCCCUGUUCUCAGAUCAUUGGUUCCCACCUCGUUUCUGCCUCAUUGCCCAUCCCAAUCUCUGCAGACCCGGCCACAUCGUGUCCCUGCAAUCUCUGCUCAGAUGACACCUGUGGGGCUCUGUCAGACCAUCUAGUCUCACUUCUUUAGACCCACUCUGCCUUUAUCUGCGUGUUUGUGUCUCCACACGGGCCCCCACCCACUCCAGAGAAAAUACCACGCAGCAGGGAGCUUGUAGGUGUUGUUCUACACCUUAUCACCAGCCCUUAGAUUUGUCCCAGGCGUGAAAUGGCCACAGAUGUGCUGGUUGGGUAAAGAUUUCAUGGGACAUGGUGGACAUCUGUGUGGCAGCAUUGCAGAAUGGAUAUACCUGUGCUUACCAGGGUGAGGCCUGAAAGGGAGCUCGAUUUUCCCAUUCUUUCUGUGCUGGCGUAUCAUACGAUCAUGCUGUAUUAACAGUGAAGAAACCAGACAGCUGAUGUUGUCAGAUAUAGAGGCAAUAUGCUAAAACAUCUCCUAGAAGCCAUGUGACCCAGAGGGAUGGGCUGGAUGCCAGUAUGAUCGGAUUGCAAACUGCUUGCUCAACCCUACAGCCAUCGGCUGAUGAAUUGAUAUCAGUCAGAAUGAGGCUCGGUGACUUGGUGAAAACGUAUGUGUGCACGUCGCAUGGCACAGAGGGCGGUGUGAGGAGGAAGGGUGGGUGGCCAUGAUACCCUAGGCUGUCCUUCAUUUCAUUCCCCCAGCAUCGCUGCUGUUAUUUUCAUGAUUAUAUCAUUGAAUUGCUGAGAGGAAGGGCACAGCUAGGCUUUGGGCUCUGUGCUUCCAGUAGGUGUACAACAGAAGUGUGUGUGUGUGUGUGUGUGUGUGUGUGUGUUGCUGGGGAUCAAAUCCAGCGCCUUUCACAAGCCAGGCAAGCACUGCAGCACCAAGCUACACCCCCAGCCCAAGGGAGAUUGAUGCAUGACUAACAUCACUGGAGGCUGAGCGGAGUCUUGCCAGGGCUGCUUCGGUGGGUGUGAGAAGCGUUUGGUCAAUGUAAAGAGUCGGAGAGUGUCCUCUGCAUUCCCUGAAAGUGUGGAGCUGUCAUCAGCCGCCGUUGUCCCGGUCGCUCCUACUGUUGGUGAGCUUUCAGGGACGGCAGACGCCAGCCUCAGCGGUAGACUCCUGGUGUGUGCUGCAAGCUGGUGGCUUGGCAGCUUGGGAGCAGGACAGUUAGGCCUGAGUUCCUCUAAAGCUAACUUUCAUGUACCAAAGAAACAGAAUUGGACUCGUUUCAUAGUCUCGCUCAUGUUCAACUCAUGCACAUUGGGCUGAGCGCCAUCCAGCUUUCCAGACUGAGAAUGACGGGUCCCCAAAGCAGCUCAUCCCUGGGCCACGUUCUUCCAUAGAUGACACGUCCACUUGCAGGUGAUCCUUGAGCACACGCAGAACUCCAGGCCCCGUGGAGCAUCAUCUCUGCUCCAGCCCUGGGGACUUAGAAGAUCACGGCAGAUGGGGAAGCAUUCCUGUCCCGUACAUGUUAGGCCUGGACUAGGACUCGACUGGGCCCUGGAAAGGGAGAAAGCGAAAGCAGGUGUCAGACAGGAAGAGGGAUGCGGGGUGUGCAUUGAUCUUGCUGCAUCCUUCAAGACUGGUGUCUUUUAAAAUAAUCCUGCCUUUUUCCCCCCUGAUGUCUUUGCCCCACAGUGCAAUGGGAUGUGAGGUUUUGUGAGUCCCAGAGAUGGUGGAGAAAGCUCCUUCCUCCCAGGCUGUGCUGACAGCUGGUUGCUAUUAGAGAGAAACGGACAGAUGGUGGCAGCCGGCCCGGUCAUGCUGAGCCGGAAGUCUGCUCAUUUCAUCCAAAAUCAGGGCCUGUUUUUGAAACACAGCGUAGUGUUAUCACUUUGGUAUUUUAGCCUAGACUUGGACGUUAUUACUUUUUGAGGCUGCAUAAUUUUUCGAGGAUGGACAUAUCAGCUCAGCAAAGAGAUAAGAAAAAGGAGAGCACAUCUUUGGUCCCAGCAAGACCGUGGUCCAAGACAGCUUUGCUGUGGCGCUUGUGACUCUCAAGUCUGGCUGCAAGUGGGCCUACAAACCCCAGCUCCCUUUCUUAUGCUCUGUUUUGCAGUGUGGGUCGUGGUUCUUUGCUGAGUCUGGAAGGGCCACCUCCUCAAUCUGUUCUGUCCACUGCAUGGGCUCUAGACCAGCUGUGCGAGUUAACGCCUCCCCCUAGCUCAGACCUGUGUGGGGCAGGAGGAAGAGGUGCUUGCAAGAAAGAGGCUGAAGGUGGUGAUGUGAGGCCGUGAGACAUGUGCAGAAAUGGGAGGCUCAGGGGCUCUCACAGGACCCUGACGCCCUCCUGCUCCCUGCUCCCCAGCUCAGAGGACUUCCCUGCUCACCCACAGCCUCCUCCUCUAGUUCUCUGCAUAUACUUAGGUCUUAAACUGUGCCAGAAAACACACACAAUUGACCCACAUAACCAGUUUUGUUUUUGUUUUUCUUUUUUUUUUUCAAUUGGUACCAGGGAUCGAACUCACAACGGCCUGCUUGCAAGGCAGGUUCUUACGCCGCUGAGCUAAAUCCCCAGCCCCUCAUAACCAGUUUUUGAAGCUGCCCUGCAGCAGAGGGAAGUAUGUCCCCAGGGGUGGACAGCCGUCACCACCACCCAUCCAGACAGCAUUUCAGACCCAUUAAACAACUGUGCCCCUCGGCCGCCAACAGCCAGCAUUCAUUCAUUAUCUCCGGGAAUGCUGCCACGGCCCCAGGUGUCUCACAGAAGCGCCCUCCUGUCGCUUUCGUCCUUUCCAGACUGAUGGGGUUCACUGGCUGUAGUGCUCUUGAGCUGGCCCUGCACCUGAAGAUCCACUCAUCUGUCCACUCUCUCCUCCCAGGAUGCUGGGGUUGCUUCCUCAUGUUAGCUGACCUGAUAACACGAGUGUAAAACCUUUCUCGGCUGUUGCUUUUGAUGCUUUUGGGUACAGACUCAGAAGCUGGGUUGCUGGGUCACCCGGGAACUGCUGCCCCGGGUUCAGUUUUUUAUCCCAUUGGCAACAUUUCACAUUCCUGCCACCGUGCACGGAGGCAUCCAUCUUCCUCUCGGUGCACGCGGUGGUUCUGUGUUUGAGAAUGGUCCCCGCAUGGCUGCACUCUGCACACAGAUCGGUGGGGAUAUGUGGGGCGCUCCUGAUGGCAGCACUCGCAUCAUCCUAUUGAUUCCCACUCCCCGAAUUCCAAAUCCGCAUAUUGGGUGAUUCCAUUUCGUUUGCUGAAUGAAUCCCUUUCUUUGUUUCUGGGGAGGCGUUGUCCUCUCCCUGCUUCCAGGACAGUCAACCGUUUUGAUCACGUACAAAAUGAAGCAACGUUGAGAGCUGGAAAAGCGAUGUGUCUGCUCAGACAGGAGGCACCCAGCUCUGAUUUGAUUUUAGGGCAAUUGGUAAGGAAGGUUUGCUCAGAGGUGCCGUGUUGAGUUUUUCUUUUGGGCAGUGGGAAUUCCUCUAAAAGAACCGCUGUAGCCCGGACUCUCUGCCUGCAACCUGCCCCUCAGCCCUUCUCUCCUGUCAUCCUGAGAGAGUGUAGUCAAGGAUGCUGACAGUUCCUGAGUUUCUGCAAAUCUUUGAGUGCAAGGCAAAUACCCUUAAACAUUUUUUUGUUUGUUUUUUGUUUCUUGAGACAGGGUCUCACUGUGUAUUUCAGGCUGGCCUCAAACUCACAAUUCUCCUGUCUGACCUCCAGAGUGCUAGUGUAGCAGGCAUGUGCCACUGUGUCUGGCCUAUAUUUACUUUUUAAUCACAUUUUAUUUUGAAAUUAGUUUCAAUUUCCAGAAGACUAGCGAAAGUAACACAGAGAAUUUCCACACACCCCUUGUCCGCCCAGCAUUCCCUAGUGUGGGUAUUUUAUGCAGUCAUGGUGUGCUGACCAAAGCUAAGAAACCGCGUUACUAACCAGACCACAGGGCUUUGUUUGUCAUUCCCCCGCUUUUCCUUGUCUGUCCUUUUUCUGUCCUGGGACCCUUGAUUGCAACUGGUUGUCAGAUCUCCGUAAUCUCCCCCAAUUUGUGAGAGACCCUCCAUCUUUCCGUCUUUCGUGGCCUUGUCACUUGUAAGGACAGGUUACGAAGGCUGGCACUUUGCAGAAUACCUCGGGUGGAUUUGGGGAGGAAGCUUAGGACCGAGUUGUACUUUUGUCAUUUUAAUGGGAAUUAUGAGACAGAGGCCGGCCUACACCCUUGGGUGCCUGCCUGUGUGGGAAGCAGCUCCUUUCCUAAGCAUAAGGGGCCUGGGCCCAGGCCAGUGGCCGAGCGUCAGACUCUCCCAGCACCCUCCAAUGGCACCCUGGAGGGAGAAGAAGGUGGCCCAGAUGGAAAACCUCUACACCGAUUCCUGCACACCAGCAGGCUGGGUAGCCCAUGGUCAGGGCCGCAGCGGUCUUGAUCUCACUGUCUUCAUCUAUAAAACAAGAGCAUUGGUCAUCAAAGGCCACUCUGAGCCUGUGGCUGUCCCCUACAAUGCCUGGCAUUGCUGCAGUGGAACAAGAGGCCUCAGAGCCCCCAGCACACAGCGCAGGACAGCUGUGACCAGGCGGUGCCAGCCGCCUCUGUGGCAUGGAGGACAAGGCUGCCUUGGAAGAGCCAGGAGCCUCUGGGUGGCAGCUUUAGGGAGCCCCUCCCUCUCGUUCCAAACUGGGAAACUUCUGGAGAUGACAGAGAAGGGGAGGUCGCAGUGCCGCUGGCUUAGCGCAGUGUGUGUGGAACAGCGAGCUUCACUUGCCCGCCUUCCCAGGUCCCUGCUUGCACCACCCGCACCUGCACCCCUCCUUUCUGCCUCUCACCUUUCCUGUCUUGGGUUUCUGAACUCCAGAUGCUUUGCUGUCAGAGCUGAGGGAGCUUCCAGGGCUGCAUGUAGCUAACCUCAAGCCGAGUCAUUUAAUACACCUGUCUUUCCAGGCAAUUAAAGACUUGGCACAUGCGUGGAAAAGCGUUUGCUUUGAGAAGUCAGUGAUAGCUCUUAUUUGCAGACCAGCAGAGGCAAGUGUGUGGAGGGGACCCGAGGCCCGCGUCGUGGAGGCAUUGCAUCUGGCGGCGUCCACGCAGUUCAGAGCUGAGGCCCUUACUGGUCUUGGCAGCCUCCUGGGUUAUUCUGUGGCUGCUCUUUGUCAGAAGAUGAGCUGAAAAAACUAAGUUGACCGAAUUUCCCCUUGAAGCAUUCCAGCUCGAGGACAUGUCUCAUCCCGGCAACCGAGGCUGCGGAAUGCAGUCGAUGCUGAGGACAGGGAGCUUUUGUUUCUCGUGGGGGCCAGCUGCAGGCCCGAGUGCUGGCCCAUAGCAAGUGGGCAGGGACUGCCUGGCCCUUUGUCAGGCAGGGCUGACGCUCGGCUCAGCACACUGUGGCCUUGGAGGACUUCAGGAAGCCCACAGAUUUUAAGGGACCGAUGUGAUGGGUCUGAUGGCGGGAAGAGGUGAAUCUAUGCCUUGUUAGUUCUGAAUCUGCGACUCCCACCCCAGAAAGCAUCUAGAUUCUGGAACAUUUCAAUUUGAUUGUGGAAAACUCACAGUCUAUAAAAUUGACCGUUUUAACCCUUUUCGAGGAGUCCAGGACCACUCACAUUGGCUGAGCCGCAGCCCUGCCCCCACCUCCAGAGCUCUGCGGUAAAGUGGGGAGCUCUGAACCCCGUCGGUACUCGCCCUCCCUUGGCCCUGGCCACCAUGCUUCUGCUUGGUAUUUUGGUGACUCUCACGCCUCUGAGGAGCUGUGCGCGUGGAACCCUACCACACCCGUCCUUUGUGACUCGCUUGUUUCACCCUGCGGGGUACCUGGUGGUGCCACCUGUCAGAAUCCCCUCCCUUGUUACGGCUGAGUCACCCCACUGAACGGAAAUAGCAUGUCUUGCUCACCCUGUCACCCCUGGAUGGCUUCCACGUUUCAGCGACUGUGAAGGAUGCUGCUAUGAAUGUGGGGAUGCAGGAUCUUACCACACUGUCUGCGCUGGCCUCCCACCCCAGAGUUCUGGUGGUCUUCUGCCUCAGUCUUCCAGAGUAGCUGGGAUUACACGUGUGCCUCCAUGGCUGGCUUAAGACAACAGUAUUCAUUUACAGUUAAUGUAUUGCUUUGACACAUUCAAUACAGGGCUGUAGUUCAUAUGUGUUUCUGCCAGGCAACUUGAAUGGUACAUGCAUAACGGUCCCAUCCAUCAGCUUUUCUGUUAAUUUUAUUAGUAAAAAGAGCAGUGAUAAAGCGAUUCAGUCGGUUUGUACCAUCAGUGGUGUAAGUGCUCCAUGGCACAGUUGUGCAUGCACCACCGGUGGGUCAAGCCCGUGGGAACGUGUUAAAGCCUAGCAUUGUAGAGCAGAUACACAACAGGAAAUUCUGAAUUCUAGAGAAGCGAUUGCCUUGCACAGUCACCGUGGAGUCUCUUCACAACUGCAUGCUCUACCAGUGCACGAAUACUUAAUUCACAGUACAAAACAAUGCAAGUCACACAGACUUCAUUCUCCAGCUCGGAGCAGUGGGUACAUGUCCGUAUCUGAGGCUUGAGCCUGGCUGGCAAGUUCUGAAAGUCGAUAACUCAACUCUGUCACUGUGUUGACCAAACAGGAGAUCUCCUUGGGGAAAACACUUGAGUUUCAUGUUGGAUUGAGCAGAGCAGCACCUUUGAAGCGUUCUGCAUGUAGAAGAGAAGCGACCUUGACCGAGUCAUUUCCUUCUGUUAAGUUCCACCGUGUGUUCACAGUGCCGAACGCAUAGGUAUAAUGACACAGGCAAAGAGCUCGGACAUGAGACAGAUGAGGACAGAUGGGAAUCUGGUCUUCUCGUUAUCUAACUGGGAUGCACACACCUGUCUUGUGGAAUUGGGAGGGAUGUGACUUCCUCCUUGUGGUAGCAAGUUGUUUGAGAGGAGCGUGGCUGACGGACUUCAGUGGUGAUACAGGCACAGACAAGGAUCACUCAGCAGAACCCCAGUUGCACAAGAAAUAACAUCCAGGAUCAAUAAAUGGGAUUGCAUCAAAUUAAAAGGCUGCACAGCAAACAGCCAACAGAAUGAAGGAACAGCCUACAGAAUGGGAAAAAAAGUGCCAGCUGUUCUUCAGAUGGAGGACUAACAUCUAGAAUAUACAAAGAACUCAAAAGAUUAGACCCCCCUCAAUUUAAAAAUCCAAUCCCAAAAUGGACAUCUUGAGUAGACACUUCUCAGAAGAAGUACAGAUAGCUAAUAAAUACAUGAAAAAAUAUACAGUCCUACUGGCCAAA
Molecule: long non-coding RNA, 8047 nt
Organism: Cavia porcellus (domestic guinea pig)
Lineage: Eukaryota; Metazoa; Chordata; Mammalia; Rodentia; Caviidae
Exons: 2
Source: RefSeq, a predicted model, not a curated record